UCCCUGGUGGUCCAGUGGUUAGGACUUGGCAUUUUCACUGCCAGGGCCUGGGUUCAAUCCCUAGUCAGGGAA
Molecule: non-coding RNA, 72 nt
Organism: Balaenoptera ricei (Rice's whale)
Lineage: Eukaryota; Metazoa; Chordata; Mammalia; Artiodactyla; Balaenopteridae
Source: the annotation of a RefSeq genome assembly